RNAcentral lists this ribosomal RNA (397 nucleotides) under uncultured bacterium. RNAcentral describes it as "partial 16S ribosomal RNA". It matches the Rfam family "Bacterial small subunit ribosomal RNA", at positions 523 to 918 of the family's 1533-position model. The record is from RNAcentral.
AUACGUAGGGGGCGAGCGUUGUCCGGAAUGACUGGGCGUAAAGGGCGUGUAGGCGGCUCUGUAAGUCUGGAGUGAAAGUCCCGCUUUCAAGGUGGGAAUUGCUUUGGAUACUGUGGAGCUUGAGUGCGGAAGAGGUAAGUGGAAUUCCGGGUGUAGCGGUGAAAUGAGUAGAGAUCGGGAGGAACACCAGUGGCGAAGGCGGGUAACUGGACUGCAACUGACGCUGAGGCGCGAAAGUGUGGGGAGCAAACAGGAUUUGAUACCCUGGUAGUCCACACUGUAAACGAUGAGUGCUAGGUGUAGGAGGUAUCGACCCCUUCUGUGCCGGAGUAAACGCAAUAAGCACUCCGCCUGGGGAGUACGGUCGCAAGAUUAAAACUCAAAGGAAUUGACGGGG